RNAcentral lists this ribosomal RNA (180 nucleotides) under Achromobacter sp. PVA-2. RNAcentral's name for it is "partial 16S ribosomal RNA". It matches the Rfam family "Bacterial small subunit ribosomal RNA", at positions 335 to 507 of the family's 1533-position model. The record is from RNAcentral. Lineage: Bacteria; Pseudomonadati; Pseudomonadota; Betaproteobacteria; Burkholderiales; Alcaligenaceae.
ACUCCUACGGGAGGCAGCAGUGGGGAAUUUUGGACAAUGGGGGAAACCCUGAUCCAGCCAUCCCGCGUGUGCGAUGAAGGCCUUCGGGUUGUAAAGCACUUUUGGCAGGAAAGAAACGUCGUGGGUUAAUACCCCGCGAAACUGACGGUACCUGCAGAAUAAGCACCGGCUAACUACGUG